AUGAAGAGAGCUCGGCGAGUUCUCUGCCGUGGAGGUGUUGGUGGUAUGGCUGUGUGCUCCUGGCGGUGUGGGUCUUGGAGGGACCACGACUUCUCGGCUAUGAUGGUGAGGUGGUGCGGCGGCGGUGGACUGGCCAACUUGGAUGUUGUGGCCCCAAUUUGGAGGGCAGGGAUGGAGGUGCAGGGCGAUCCGAAAGAAAUUCCUGCCCGUGAGGCGGCAACGGUGUCCGUGGGCGUCGUUCCCCUCCUUGGAGGCUCCGCCAAGGCAUUGAAGAGUGGAUGGUGCGUCGACGAGGGAAGUUCACCGGGAGUUGGUGUUGUCUUCGGAGAUCAGAUCGUGGAAGCCCAGGCCAAAUCCAAAGCGACAACAGAAAAGCUCGAGCUCUUGCUUGGGUGGUCGAGCGAGCAGACCCCGAUCCCAGCAGUAGCACCAGGAGGAGGAAGAUGUCGUCGGUGUUCAGCGGCGAUGAGACCGCCCCCUUCUUCGGCUUUCUCGGCGCCGCCGCGGCUCUCGUCUUCUCAUGUAUGGGGGCGGCCUACGGGACGGCCAAGAGCGGCGUCGGCGUGGCGUCCAUGGGAGUCAUGCGCCCGGAGCUCGUCAUGAAGUCCAUCGUGCCCGUUGUCAUGGCUGGAGUGCUCGGUAUCUACGGGCUUAUUAUCGCUGUCAUCAUCAGUACCGGGAUCAACCCCAAGGCCAAGCCCUACUACCUCUUCGACGGCUACGCCCACCUCUCGUCCGGGCUCGCCUGUGGCCUUGCCGGACUUGCUGCUGGCAUGGCCAUCGGCAUUGUUGGUGAUGCUGGAGUCAGGGCAAAUGCUCAGCAGCCCAAGCUGUUUGUCGGCAUGAUCCUCAUCCUCAUCUUCGCAGAGGCGCUCGCUCUCUACGGUCUCAUUGUCGGCAUCAUCCUGUCAUCCCGAGCUGGCCAGUCUCGUGCCGAUUAGCCAAUUAGGCAUGUUCCACACACGCGGCCCUGUGUGCCCUCUUGUUUUAUAUUAUUCAGACAGCAAACUGAGCUCUAGAGGUUAUCAUGUCUAGUUUUCAUUCUUCUGUUUGGUGGAGAAAAAAACAUCUGUAGCCAAGGGAGUUUUGCCCUUGAUGUACCAUUCUUUUCCCGUCAAGAUGCUGGGAGGGGGUUGGUGCUUAUGUAUGCACAGUUAUUUACCUUUUGGGUCUGGCUGGACGGUGUAAUCUGGUGAAUAAGCGAGAACUUGCAAUGCAAUUGAGUUUUGUCCA
This is an RNA transcript of Triticum aestivum (bread wheat), 1233 nucleotides long. It is a transcript of the gene named V-type proton ATPase 16 kDa proteolipid subunit-like, with no coding region annotated. The transcript is spliced from 5 exons. The record is from RefSeq and is a predicted model, not a curated record. Lineage: Eukaryota; Viridiplantae; Streptophyta; Magnoliopsida; Poales; Poaceae.